Molecule: ribosomal RNA, 122 nt
Filed under: Thermoplasmatales archaeon
Lineage: Archaea; Methanobacteriati; Thermoplasmatota; Thermoplasmata; Thermoplasmatales
Source: RNAcentral
UAUGACGGCCAAAGCGGCGGGGAUACACCCGGUCCCAUUCCGAACCCGGCAGUAAAGUCCGCCCGCGCACCGAUCUGUACUGUAUUGCGCAAGCGUACGGGAAAACCGGCCCGCUGUCAGCC